Molecule: long non-coding RNA, 1359 nt
Filed under: Helianthus annuus (common sunflower)
Lineage: Eukaryota; Viridiplantae; Streptophyta; Magnoliopsida; Asterales; Asteraceae
Description: hypothetical non coding rna
Source: RNAcentral
AUGUGUUGUGAGGGUUUGACGAUGGUGGUCCGGUUUGCUCCACCGACUUUCAUGGCUUGGAAUUGGUGUGAUAUGGAGGUUUGGAAUGAUGGUGGUUUGAAAUGAUAUUGCAUGCUAACUUGCUAGGCUAGUCUGGAUUUGGACUUUGACCAGCGUUGUGGAUGCUCUAAUAAAAAGUGAUUCGCCCUUGACUAAUGAUCUUUAGGGCCGUCCCUGAGCAAUUACAGUUGGCUAAUUCACUAGCAAAUGCAAGCUCUGAAAAUGAAUUCUUGUGGACUGUUAUAGUUAACAAUGAUCAUAAAUGACUUCAAAAAGUUUAUAAAGAUAAAAACUUAUAGAUUUACUUAAGUUUCUUUUGUAAGAGCCUCCACAACCCUGAAGGGUCAUAGACAUGAUCAUAAAUGACUACAAACUUUUUGAUCCCUUUGUUUGUGCACAUUAUGAAUCUGAUAUAUAAAACAACCAAAGCAUCAUCAAACCGAAACCGAAACUAAAACUGUAUCAUUCCUUCUAACAAUUCGAAAAAAAAAAAAACGAAAUCACAUAUCGCCCCAUCAUGCAUGCCUAGGUUCCUCAUCAAGCCAAGUAUCGAUACAACUUUCUAUCCUCCCUAUCCCUUUCUAAAAACUCCCUCUCGAUAAGCGACUCAAUCCGUUUCUUUAUCACAAUAGGGUUCGCCAAGAAUCUCGAUUGCAGUUGCUUUGUAACUUCCGCCACAAUAUUAUUAUGAUCCAACACCCGUCUUGCUUUCAUAAUUCUCACGAUCGCCGCCUCGAUCUGUGGCUUUCUGUCUUCCUCUACCCUCUGCCUUGUUUCUUGCUUUUCGGGUUCUGAUUCCUUCUGUGCCACCACCGUCCCAAUCUUCACCUUGUAGAGUUUACUAGAAAAACUAUCGUUAAAAAAGAAGCUGUCGUUUUCACUUACGUCUUUGCUCAUUGGUUCUUUCCUCAAAACAUUCUUCCCCUUUGCACAAGCUAACGAUUGCAAGCACCGUUUCAGUUCAACGGUUGGUAUCUCGACUGCCUGCUCGAUUUCUUUGUAACUCAACUGAUCCACGUUGUUGAAAAGCAUCAAAACACACAUUUGAUACGUUGAAACGUUUAGCUCGUGCUUUUUACCUCCCGAAAAAGUUGCUUUGAUAUCAGCAGAACCCAUGUUUGUUUGCCAUGUUAAUCUCCGUCCGUUGUGGGUCCCAAGGUAAUACGUUUUGAAUCUCUCACACACAGUAAGUAUUUCAUGUGGAAGGUUGCAAGCGGGUAUAGAUUGAGUCGGCCACGAGCCGGUUGUCAGAACUUGUACGGAAAGUAUCGGUCCAUUCGCUAACGCGCGUCCCAUAGCUUCAUAAAACCCUUGCAUUGU